Molecule: ribosomal RNA, 287 nt
Filed under: uncultured bacterium
Lineage: Bacteria
Description: partial 16S ribosomal RNA
Rfam family: Bacterial small subunit ribosomal RNA
Source: RNAcentral
CCUACGGGAGGCAGCAGUGGGGAAUAUUGGACAAUGGACGAAAGUCUGAUCCAGCAAUGCCGCGUGAGUGAUGAAGGCCUUAGGGUUGUAAAGCUCUUUUACCAGGGAUGAUAAUGACAGUACCUGGAGAAUAAGCUCCGGCUAACUCCGUGCCAGCAGCCGCGGUAAUACGGAGGGAGCUAGCGUUGUUCGGAAUUACUGGGCGUAAAGCGCACGUAGGCGGUUAUUCAAGUCAGAGGUGAAAGCCCGGGGCUCAACCCCGGAACUGCCUUUGAAACUGAUAGCUA